This 451-nucleotide ribosomal RNA is filed under the name uncultured bacterium. Its description in RNAcentral is "bacterial SSU rRNA". It matches the Rfam family "Bacterial small subunit ribosomal RNA", at positions 340 to 786 of the family's 1533-position model. The record is from RNAcentral.
UACGGAAGGCAGCAGUGGGGAAUAUUGCACAAUGGGCGCAAGCCUGAUGCAGCCAUGCCGCGUGUAUGAAAAAGGCCUUCGGGUUGUAAAGUACUUUCAGUCGUGAGGAAGGUGUUAAGGUUAAUAACCUUAGCAAUUGACGUUAGCGACAGAAGAAGCACCGGCUAACUCCGUGCCAGCAGCCGCGGUAAUACGGAGGGUGCGAGCGUUAAUCGGAAUUACUGGGCGUAAAGGGCACGCAGGCGGUUAAUUAAGUUGGAUGUGAAUCCCCGGGCUUAACCUGGGAAUGGCAUUCAAGCUGGUUAGCUAGAGUCUUGUAGAGGGGGUAGAAUUCCAUGUGUAGCGGUGAAAUGCGUAGAGAUGUGGAGGAAUACCGGUGGCGAAGGCGGCCCCUGGACAAAGACUGACGCUCAUGUGCGAAAGCGUGGGGAGCAAACAGGGAUUAGAUACC